AUUGAACGCUGGCGGCAUGCUUUACACAUGCAAGUCGAACGGCAGCGCGGGGGCAACCUGGCGGCGAGUGGCGAACGGGUGAGUGAUAUAUCGGAACGUACCCAGGGAGUGGGGGAUAACGUAGCGAAAGUUACGCUAAUACCGCAUACGAUCUAUGGAUGAAAGCAGGGGAUCGCAAGACCUUGUGCUCAUGGAGCGGCCGAUAUCUGAUUAGCAGUUGGUAGGGUAAAGGCCUACCAAGGCGACGAUCAGUAGCUGGUCUGAGAGGACGACCAGCCACACUGGGACUGAGACACGGCCCAGACUCCUACGGGAGGCAGCAGUGGGGAAUUUUGGACAAUGGGCGCAAGCCUGAUCCAGCAAUGCCGCGUGAGUGAAGAAGGCCUGG
RNAcentral lists this ribosomal RNA (388 nucleotides) under uncultured bacterium. RNAcentral describes it as "bacterial SSU rRNA". It matches the Rfam family "Bacterial small subunit ribosomal RNA", at positions 29 to 419 of the family's 1533-position model. The record is from RNAcentral.